AUGUUGAAGAACAAUAAAAACAAAAGACAUUAUCUCUGUCUGUCUGUCUGUCUCUCUGUCUGUGUCUCUGUCUGUCUGUCUGUCUGUCUCUCUGUCUGUCUGUGUCUCUCUCUGUCUGUCUGUCUGUCUGUCUGUCUGUCUGUGUCUCUGUCUGUGUCUCUGUCUGUGUCUCUGUCUGUCUGUCUGUCUCUCUGUCUGUCUGUCUCUCUGUCUGUGUCUCUGUCUGUCUGUCUGUCUGUCUCUCUGUCUGUGUCUCUGUCUGUCUCUCUGUCUGUCUGUCUGUCUCUCUGUCUGUCUGUCUGUCUGUCUGUCUGUCUGUGUCUCUGUCUGUCUCUCUGUCUGUGUCUCUGUCUGUCUGUCUGUCUCUCUGUCUGUCUGUCUCUCUGUCUGUGUCUCUGUCUGUCUGUGUCUCUGUCUGUCUGUGUCUCUGUCUGUCUGUCUGUCUGUCUGUCUGUCUCUCUGUCUGUGUCUCUGUCUGUGUCUCUGUCUGUCUGUCUGUCUGUCUGUCUGUCUGUCUGUCUGUCUGUCUGUCUGUCUGUCUGUCUGUCUGUCUGUCUGUCUGUCUGUCUGUCUGUCUGUCUGUGUCUCUGUCUGUCUGUCUGUCUCUCUGUCUGUCGUCUGUCUGUCUGUCUGUCUGUCUGUCUGUCUGUCUGUCUGUCUGUCUGUCUGUCUGUCUGUCUCUCUGUCUGUGUCUCUGUCUGUCUGUCUGUGUCUCUGUCUGUCUGUCUGUCUGUCUCCGUCUGUCUCUCUGUCUGUCUGUCUGUCUGUCUGUCGUCUGUCUGUCUGUCUGUCUGUCUGUGUCUCUGUCUGUCUCUCUGUCUGUCUGUCUCUCUGUCUCUCUGUCUGUGUCUCUGUCUGUCUGUCUGUCUCUCUGUCUGUGUCUCUGUCUGUCUGUCUGUCUGUCUCCGUCUGUCUCUCUCUCUGUCUCUCUGUCUCUCUGUCUCUCUGUCUGUCUGUCUGUCUGUCUGUCUGUCUGUCUGUCUGUCUGUCUGUCUGUCUGUCUGUCUGUCUGUCUCCAUCUCUCUGUCUCUCUUUCUCUCUACAUCUGUCUGUCUGUCUGUCUGUCUGUCUCUCUGUCUGUCUCUCUGUCUGUGUCUCUGUCUGUGUCUCUGUCUGUCUGUCUCUCUCUCUCUCUCUCUCUCUCUCUCUCUGUCUGUCUGUCUGUCUGUCUGUCUGUCUGUCUGUCUGUCUGUCUGUCUGUCUGUCUGUCUGUCUGUCUGUCUGUCUGUCUGUCUGUCUGUCUGUCUGUCUGUCUCUCUCUCUCUCUCUCUCUCUCUCUCUGUCUGUCUGUCUCUCUCUCUCUCUGUCUAUCUGUCUGUCUGUCUCUUUCUCUCUACAUCUCUCUGUCUAUGUCUCUCUUUCUCUCUCCGUCUCUCUGUCUGUCUGUCUCUCCGUCUCUCUGUCUGUCUCUCUUUCUCUCUCCGUCUCUCUGUCUGUCUUUCUUUCUCUCUCCGUCUCUCUGUCUGUCUCUCUCCGUCUCUCUGUCUGUCUCUCUGUCUAUGUCUGUCUCUCUUUCUCUCUCCGUCUAUGUCUGUCUCUCUGUCUAUGUCGCUCUCUCUCUCCCUCUUCUUCUCUCUCAGUAAGCAGAGGUACAUGUUUGCCAACACAUGGAUUCAAAGGCGAGCUGACAAACCAACCAGGAAGUGUCAUAAAACACAAAGUCCUCCUCAAUAAUCCUCCACGUCCUCCCAGAGGACUUCCUGCAGACCUGCCCACCAGCGCCUGUUUCCUGAUCGACACCCUUCAUCAGAGCGGCACAUUUGUACGUAGCCCUAAGGUCCAGACGUUACCCACAUCAACAUAGGAAGAAACCUGUAUGGUACUUGUGCCUUGUGUUCAGCAUGGAUGACCAUGUAAUAACAUGAUAAUAUGACAUCCAUGGCAUGCUGUGUUCUGGGCAUAGAGUUGUAAUCACUUCCUUAAACUCUUCCUCUAGUGUUUUCUAACUCUACGGUUCCGUGUAUCUGCUGUGUGGUGUGGUUCAGGGUCUGAACCAGUACCUGAUGCCGUCGAAGCAGAGAGACUGUCGCAGGUUCACUCUGGUCAGCCGGAGCGUGGAGAUCCUGCGGGUGGAGAAGACUCGCUUUGACAAGCUGGUGGACAACACCACCAUGAAGAAGCUGGAGGCCCUGCAGAAAACCUACCCAAGGUGAGACUUAUGGAUACCAGUUCAGAUGGGCUGCCCUUACUGGUGCAAUUCAUAGAAAAGAUGGGGCACCAGAAACAACCACUAGCCCCUACCCUCUAGGUGUUUGUGUAGAUCUAAGACGACUCAGGACUAGAUAGGUGUAAGGCAAGCAAUCCACAGAGGGCAAGGUGAAACUUUCACUGUAUUGCUUAUACCUAUCUAAUCCUCUCAGGGAUAGGGAGAAUGUACGCAUUACUGUAAGUCGCUUUGGAAAAGAGCGUCUGCCGAAUGGCCUAUAUUAUUAUGACCGCUUUUGUGUUAUCUUCCUGUGUAGCGACGACGAGCUGUGCACUGUGUUCCUGGAACACAGCCGCUGGAAGGACUACAAACACAGUGUGAUACAGGACCUGUUCCCCGACCGGGUCGCCCCAAUCAGAAGCCCCAAAACCCAGAAGCAGCAGGUCCACUGUGGCCCCAGCCAGGCCCUUCAGCAGACCAGACACGUGGUCAACAGGCUGAAACAGACAAAGCAGAGGGUAGAGACAAACAAAAAAUAAUGAAAUAAAGGAAUAACUGUGUAGAUGAAUGAAUACAUAGACAUGGUUUUUGCUGCAUUUGUCAUUAUUUUCAUCCUUAUUCCUACCUUGCAACUAAAAACUAUUUCACGGCAUUUAGGUUAAAAUCAGGCAGAAAUCAAAUUAUCUGCACACCUUUUCUCAAGAAGAAUGGUUUUGAAGUAUAAUUUCUCAUGAGCGGGUCAUGAGAAAACAUACUUUAAACCCUUCUGCCCCUGCCUUUUGCUCUCUGUGAGUAGAAAGCUGAAGGAACUCGGUUGUCACUAGUUAACACAGCCACGGAGUGGAAAUUGGCUGUAUUGUAAAAAAAUAACAAAAAAUAAAGAAAACAAAAAUGUGUUUUAUUAUCUUAAUGUAAGGUUAGGUUUAGACAUAAGGUUAGCAGUGUGCUUAGGGUUAGGUGUAAAAACAGAUCUUAAGAAGAGAAAUUGUAGAAAUAGACAGAGGGUUUAGACAUACUUAUGGCUAUGUUCCUCUGCCCAGUUGUUGAUGAUGCAUGCUAGAUCUUACAAAGCCUGGAUAUUUUCUAAGUAUCAGCUUGCCACAUCAUGGACACAAUCCACUGCUCAGAUGUUGCAUAUAUCAACCAAUGGUUCCGUGCGACGUCGUCGACAGUGUCAUCCCCUGACAGAUUCCGAUAACAUAUGAUGUUACGACUGAGGAACU
This 3369-nucleotide long non-coding RNA is filed under the name Oncorhynchus kisutch (coho salmon). RNAcentral's name for it is "lncRNA (ENSOKIG00005025353.1)". The stretch from base 2373 to 2426 matches the Rfam family "UnaL2 LINE 3' element". The record is from RNAcentral. Lineage: Eukaryota; Metazoa; Chordata; Actinopteri; Salmoniformes; Salmonidae.